Molecule: long non-coding RNA, 395 nt
Organism: Vicia villosa (hairy vetch)
Lineage: Eukaryota; Viridiplantae; Streptophyta; Magnoliopsida; Fabales; Fabaceae
Exons: 2
Source: RefSeq, a predicted model, not a curated record
UGUUACUUUUAUCCUUCUCUUCUUAGAUCUACGAAACAUUGACGCCUAUUUCGUUGUUGAUAUUUUUGUUGUUGUUGCACGUUUCGAGAAAUUAUAUCUGGUUGAUCUAAACUGCUUGAUCAACGAGUUGUUUAGAAGCUAGAUGGGUUAAGAAAAAAUUAUGCAGAUCUGAACAAAAGCGCUUAUGGAUUAGGAAUUCUUUUUGGAAAAGUUGCAAAUAAAGCUAAAAAGAAUGUGUUGGGGAAGAUCAUGUUUGAUAUUGCGACACAUCAAUUCAAAUUUCAAAUAUCCCUCUUCAUUUGUAACCCAAUCAAUUUCUAUCUUCUGAGUGCAACCAUUUGGACACAAUAUAUAUAACUUACAAAAUUUUAUAUUAAAUAUCAUGUUUUCAAUAA